This 403-nucleotide ribosomal RNA is filed under the name bacterium. RNAcentral describes it as "partial 16S ribosomal RNA". It matches the Rfam family "Bacterial small subunit ribosomal RNA", at positions 355 to 776 of the family's 1533-position model. The record is from RNAcentral.
UGGGGAAUAUUGCACAAUGGAGGGAACUCUGAUGCAGCGACGCCGCGUGAACGAAGAAGGCUUUCGAGUCGUAAAGUUCUUUUAUAUGGGAAGAUAAUGACAGUACCAUAAGAAGAAGCCCCGGCUAACUACGUGCCAGCAGCCGCGGUAAUACGUAGGGGGCUAGCGUUGUCCGGAAUCACUGGGCGUAAAGGGUUCGCAGGCGGAAAUGCAAGUCAGGUGUAAAAGGCAGUAGCUUAACUACUGUAAGCAUUUGAAACUGCAUAUCUUGAGAAGAGUAGAGGUAAGUGGAAUUUUUAGUGUAGCGGUGAAAUGCGUAGAUAUUAAAAAGAAUACCGGUGGCGAAGGCGACUUACUGGGCUCAUUCUGACGCUGAGGAACGAAAGCGUGGGUAGCAAACAGG